RNAcentral lists this ribosomal RNA (253 nucleotides) under uncultured bacterium. RNAcentral describes it as "partial 16S ribosomal RNA". It matches the Rfam family "Bacterial small subunit ribosomal RNA", at positions 524 to 776 of the family's 1533-position model. The record is from RNAcentral.
UACGUAGGGGGCAAGCGUUGUCCGGAAUCAUUGGGCGUAAAGCGCGCGUAGGCGGCCCGGUCAGUCCGUUGUGAAAGUCAAAGGCUCAACCUUUGAAUGCCGACGGAUACUGCCGGGCUAGAGUACGGAAGAGGCGAGUGGAAUUCCUGGUGUAGCGGUGAAAUGCGUAGAUAUCAGGAGGAACACCGGUGGCGAAGGCGGCUUUCUGGACAGAAACUGACGCUGAUGCGCGAAAGCUAGGGGAGCAAACAGG